GAAAAAAUAUUUAUUACAGAAAAAACAACAUCCACAUCAAUAAUAAUAAUAAUGAUAAUAAUAAUAAUGAUGAUAAUAAUGAUAAUAAUAGUAAUAAUAAUGAUAAUAAUAAUAAAAAUCUUCGUCGAACAGGUAAAAAGGUACACACACACAUGUACACACACACACACGUACACACACAUCUUUGUACACACACAAUAGGCCUAUAUACAAUUUAUAUACACACACACAGACACACACACACACACACAUACAUAUAAUUACACGUAUGUUUUGCGUUUUCUACUUAAGACUAGAUUCUGUUCUCCUAUUGGUCGAGAGGUCAACCAAUAGGGAGCGAGCAGGUCAUGUAGAGGUCACAGGAGGUCACGUGACUCAUUGGCAGUAGGCGGAAGGGUCAAAAAUAUGGUUGGCGUGAGUUUUAGGUAAGUUACCCCUCGAUGGCAGCGCUGUCUUGGCCUCGGUCUGGGUCGCGGCAGCACUCAGGUUCAUGGUCGUUUGUUUGCGUUUUUCGAUCGGAUCACUUUAAUGGAUUAUUGGAGUUUGUGUGUUUGUGGAUGUUUUCUCUUCACUGUUUGUUUAUUUCCUGCUCUCUGUUUGUGUGUUUGGCUGUUUUUUUUGUUUGUACACGUAAUACUGUAUGUUUGUUUAUCUAAUUUACUUGUUUUAGCAUAAUUUUCUCCUUUCAUUUGUUGUUUUUAUUGUUUCCUAAUUUUUAACUAAUUUAUUUUCUUAUUAAUUAUCUUUUCGUCAAUUUUAACUCAUUUUCUUUCAUUAGUUUUCUUUUCAAUUAUCGUUUCCUCAUUUUCAACUCAUUUCUUUUCUUCUUAAUUUUCCUUUCCUUCACUUUUAACUAAUUUUCUCUAUUCGUUUUCUUUUCAUUUAUCUUUUCCUUCACUUUUAACUCAUUUUCCGUCAUUUAUUUUCUUUCAAAUUUCCCUUUCCUUAACUUUUAACUCUUUUCCCCUCAUUUCUUCUUAAUCUUCCUUUCCUUCACUUUCAACUCAUUUUCCUCUUUUAUUUCACAUUCAAUUUUGGUAUUUAUCUCAUUUCUUCAUUUCCUCGCGUUUCCUCUCGCACACUUUCACCUCCUCAUCCCUCACUUUCCUUUCAUGUUCACACUUUGCUCGUUAACAAAGACAUUUAUUUAGGUUUAUCGAGUUUAUUUACAAGUUCUGAGUUUCUGAGUAUUUGUAUUUAAGAGGCUAUUCACUUUUACGAUAAAGAGCCGAAGGUAUAAGUUCGGGUGAGUACAAAGGUCGGUUUUAGGGGACGUAUGACAAGUUCGGGUCAGUACAAAGGUCGGUUUUAGGGGACGUAUGACAAGUUCGGGUCAGUACAAAGGUUGGUUUUAGGGGACGUAGGACAAGUUCGGGUCAGUACAAAGGUCGGUUUAAGGAGACAGACUUUUCUAGAGACCCAAAACUUCACGGAUUAGACUUGGAAAACGGCCCCUUAACAGACCUUUCUAGGGACCCAAAAGUUCACGGAUUGGACUUGGAAAACGGCCCCUUAACAGACCUUUCUAGAGACCCAAAACUUCACGGAUUGGACUUGUAAAACGGCCCCUUAACUGACCUUUCUAUGGACCCAAAACUUCACGGAUUGGACUUGUAAAACGGCCCCUUAACUGACCUUUCUAGGGACCCAAAACUUCACGGAUUGGACUUGGAAAACGGCCCCUUAACUGAC
Molecule: long non-coding RNA, 1692 nt
Organism: Eriocheir sinensis (Chinese mitten crab)
Lineage: Eukaryota; Metazoa; Arthropoda; Malacostraca; Decapoda; Varunidae
Exons: 2
Source: RefSeq, a predicted model, not a curated record